This 739-nucleotide ribosomal RNA is filed under the name uncultured Ustilaginaceae. Its description in RNAcentral is "eukaryotic LSU rRNA". The stretch from base 255 to 409 matches the Rfam family "5.8S ribosomal RNA". The record is from RNAcentral. Lineage: Eukaryota; Fungi; Basidiomycota; Ustilaginomycetes; Ustilaginales; Ustilaginaceae.
ACCUGCGGAUGGAUCAUUUCGAUGAAAAACCUUUUUUCUGAGGUGUGGCUCGCACCUGUCCAACUAAACUUGAGCUACCAUUUUUAUACACGGUUGCAUCGGUCGGCCUGUCCAACAGUGCGGGAAUGUAUUUUCCGGCGCUGAGCAGACGAGUCGGCACUUUACACAAACACUUUUGAUAAUCUAGGAUUUGAAUGAAAGUUCAUUUUUAUGAUGGAUCCGACUGGUAAUGCGGUCGUCUAAAUCUAAAAAACAACUUUUGGCAACGGAUCUCUUGGUUCUCCCAUCGAUGAAGAACGCAGCGAAUUGCGAUAAGUAAUGUGAAUUGCAGAAGUGAAUCAUCGAAUCUUUGAACGCACCUUGCGCUCCCGGCAGAUCUAAUCUGGGGAGCAUGCCUGUUUGAGGGCCGCGAAUUGUUUCGAACGACAGCUUUUUUCAGUAAGAGCUGGCGGAUCGGUAUUGAGGGUCUUUGCCAUUCACCGUGGCUCCCUCGAAAUGCAUUAGCGCAUCCAUUUGAUAGGCGAAAGACGGACGAAAGCUCGAUUUUCGCCCUCUCUUCCCUGCCGGGUUUUGAUAAUAUCAGGACUUCGGAGGCGGAGAAAGGGUUAGAGCUGGACGCAACGACUUUUGCUGGUUGGAGUGCUUCUGAACCCCGCCCUUUCUGUCAGAGAAAGGGAUUUAUUUCAAUUCAUCGGCCUCAGAUUGGUAGGACUACCCGCUGAACUUAAGCAUAUCAAUA